This 369-nucleotide ribosomal RNA is filed under the name uncultured organism. RNAcentral's name for it is "bacterial SSU rRNA". It matches the Rfam family "Bacterial small subunit ribosomal RNA", at positions 526 to 896 of the family's 1533-position model. The record is from RNAcentral.
CGGAGGGUGCAAGCGUUAUCCGGAUUCACUGGGUUUAAAGGGAGCGUAGGUGGGCUUGUAAGUCAGUGGUGAAAUCUCUGGGCUUAACCCGGAAACUGCCAUUGAUACUAUAGGUCUUGAAUUCUCUGGAGGUAAGCGGAAUAUGUCGUGUAGCGGUGAAAUGCUUAGAUAUGACAUAGAACACCCAUUGCGAAGGCAGCUUACUACGGAGACAUUGACACUGAGGCUCGAAAGCGUGGGGAUCAAACAGGAUUAGAUACCCUGGUAGUCCACGCCCUAAACGAUGAUUACUCGACAUUAGCGAUAUUACUGUUAGUGUCUAAGCGAAAGCAUUAAGUAAUCCACCUGGGAAGUACGACCGCAAGGUUG